AGUCGAGCGGACAGAUGGGAGCUUGCUCCCUGAUGUUAGCGGCGGACGGGUGAGUAACACGUGGGUAACCUGCCUGUAAGACUGGGAUAACUCCGGGAAACCGGGGCUAAUACCGGAUGGUUGUUUGAACCGCAUGGUUCAGACAUAAAAGGUGGCUUCGGCUACCACUUACAGAUGGACCCGCGGCGCAUUAGCUAGUUGGUGAGGUAACGGCUCACCAAGGCGACGAUGCGUAGCCGACCUGAGAGGGUGAUCGGCCACACUGGGACUGAGACACGGCCCAGACUCCUACGGGAGGCAGCAGUAGGGAAUCUUCCGCAAUGGACGAAAGUCUGACGGAGCAACGCCGCGUGAGUGAUGAAGGUUUUCGGAUCGUAAAGCUCUGUUGUUAGGGAAGAACA
Molecule: ribosomal RNA, 401 nt
Filed under: Bacillus amyloliquefaciens
Lineage: Bacteria; Bacillati; Bacillota; Bacilli; Caryophanales; Bacillaceae
Description: bacterial SSU rRNA
Rfam family: Bacterial small subunit ribosomal RNA
Source: RNAcentral